UACAGAGGGUGCGAGCGUUAAUCGGAAUUACUGGGCGUAAAGGGCGCGUAGGCGGCCUUCUAAGUCAGACGUGAAAUCCCCCGGCUUAACCUGGGAACUGCGUCUGAUACUGGAGGGCUUGAGUGCGGGAGAGGGAUGUGGAAUUCCAGGUGUAGCGGUGAAAUGCGUAGAUAUCUGGAGGAACACCGGUGGCGAAGGCGGCAUCCUGGACCGACACUGACGCUGAGGCGCGAAAGCUAGGGGAGCGAACGGG
RNAcentral lists this ribosomal RNA (253 nucleotides) under uncultured bacterium. RNAcentral's name for it is "partial 16S ribosomal RNA". It matches the Rfam family "Bacterial small subunit ribosomal RNA", at positions 524 to 776 of the family's 1533-position model. The record is from RNAcentral.